GAUGAACGCUGGCGGCGUGCCUAAUACAUGCAAGUCGAGCGAACAGAUGAGGAGCUUGCUCCUCUGACGUUAGCGGCGGACGGGUGAGUAACACGUGGAUAACCUACCUAUAAGACUGGGAUAACUUCGGGAAACCGGAGCUAAUACCGGAUAAUAUAUUGAACCGCAUGGUUCAAUAGUGAAAGACGGUUUUGCUGUCACUUAUAGAUGGAUCCGCGCCGCAUUAGCUAGUUGGUAAGGUAACGGCUUACCAAGGCAACGAUGCGUAGCCGACCUGAGAGGGUGAUCGGCCACACUGGAACUGAGACACGCUCCAGACUCCUACGGGAGGCAGCAGUAGGAAAUCUUCCGCAAUGGGCGAAAGCGUGACGGAGCAACGCCGCGUGAGUGAUGAAGGUCUUCGGAUCGUAAAACUCUGUUAUUAGGAAAGAACAAAUGUGUAAGUAACUAUGCACGUCUUGACAGUACCUAAUCAGAAAGCCACGGCUAACUACGU
Molecule: ribosomal RNA, 496 nt
Filed under: uncultured bacterium
Lineage: Bacteria
Description: partial 16S ribosomal RNA
Rfam family: Bacterial small subunit ribosomal RNA
Source: RNAcentral